GUUUGGUUCGGGGUUAAGGAAAAAGUAGCUAUUCCAGGGAUAGGGUUAAGUUCAGAGUUAAAGUGUGGUUAAAGUUUUUUUGUAUUUGGUUGGGGGUUGGAGUUAGUCUAGAAUAAUGAAAAAUAGUGUUUGGUUGGAGUAGGUGGGAUAAGAAGAUAAUGAUUGAUAAAGAAGGAUAAUGAUUGGUUGGAGUAGGUGUGAUAAGAAAAAUAGUGGGUUAUUAUGAAUAUAAAAUAGUGUUUGGUUGGAGUUUGGUGGGGUUAGGUGGGGUUAGCUAACCCGGGAUAAUUUAUUUGAGGUGGGGUUAGCUAACCCCACCCAUUUUUUGGGGUGUUUGGGGAUAAAAUGGGGGUUAAGGGGUUAUUCCACCCCUUAACCCCCAACCAAACAAGG
This 393-nucleotide long non-coding RNA is filed under the name Ananas comosus (pineapple). RNAcentral's name for it is "long non-coding RNA (ACOM_LNC016210)". Lineage: Eukaryota; Viridiplantae; Streptophyta; Magnoliopsida; Poales; Bromeliaceae. The record is from RNAcentral.